UCCUGGAAUCUGCUGUUGUCAAAUAUCGCGGGAGCCGCCUCCCUAAUCACUACGUAAUGUGCCGUGCUGCUUCUAGCGGCGCUGGUGACAGUGCUGAAAGCUGUUGGGUAUGAAGUGAAACCGAACUGAAUUUUUGUACCAUCCGCAACUGCUUCAAGUUCAGAUCACAACUAAAGGAACUGAAGACAAACCUCCCAGAUUAAAAAAAAAAGUUGCAACACUGAAGCCAAGUGGGGGGAGAAAAGGAUCACUUCAAGGAUUUAAAAACACAAGAGAAACAAAAAUCCUGAAACGACCAAAGAACACGCACAUCAGCCCAACUGAAACGUGAAAGAGAAGCAAUCCUGUGCCCAAGCAUAUUCUAAGAAGAAA
Poecilia latipinna (sailfin molly) is the source of this 372-nucleotide long non-coding RNA. RefSeq lists it as uncharacterized. The transcript is spliced from 2 exons. The record is from RefSeq and is a predicted model, not a curated record. NCBI's taxonomy places the organism in Eukaryota, Metazoa, Chordata, Actinopteri, Cyprinodontiformes, Poeciliidae.